Molecule: ribosomal RNA, 891 nt
Filed under: Paracapsulospora metroxyli
Lineage: Eukaryota; Fungi; Ascomycota; Sordariomycetes
Description: eukaryotic LSU rRNA
Rfam family: Eukaryotic large subunit ribosomal RNA
Source: RNAcentral
ACAUACAAUAAGCGGAGGAAAAGAAACCAACAGGGAUUGCCCCAGUAACGGCGAGUGAAGCGGCAACAGCUCAAAUUUGAAAUCUGGCCCCAGGCCCGAGUUGUAAUUUGUAGAGGAUGCUUUUGGUGCGGCGCCUUCUGAGUCCCCUGGAACGGGGCGCCAGAGAGGGUGAGAGCCCCGUACGGUUGGACGCCUAGCCUUUGUAAAGCUCCUUCGACGAGUCGAGUAGUUUGGGAAUGCUGCUCAAAAUGGGAGGUAAAUUUCUUCUAAAGCUAAAUACCGGCCAGAGACCGAUAGCGCACAAGUAGAGUGAUCGAAAGAUGAAAAGCACUUUGAAAAGAGGGUUAAAAAGCACGUGAAAUUGUUGAAAGGGAAGCGCUUAUGACCAGACUUGCGCCCGGCGAAUCAUCCAGCGUUCUCGCUGGUGCACUUCGCCGGGCUCAGGCCAGCAUCGGUUCCCGCCGGGGGGAUAAAGGCUUCGGGAACGUAGCUCCUCCGGGAGUGUUAUAGCCCGUUGCGAAAUACCCCCGCGGGGACCGAGGACCGCGCUUCGGCAAGGAUGCUGGCGUAAUGGUCAUCAGCGACCCGUCUUGAAACACGGACCAAGGAGUCAAGCAUUAGGGCGAGUGUUUGGGUGUAAAACCCGCACGCGUAAUGAAAGUGAACGUAGGUGAGAGCUUCGGCGCAUCAUCGACCGAUCCUGAAGUAUUCGGAUGGAUUUGAGUAAGAGCCUUACCGCUUGGACCCGAAAGAUGGUGAACUAUGCUUGUAUAGGGUGAAGCCAGAGGAAACUCUGGUGGAGGCUCGCAGCGGUUCUGACGUGCAAAUCGAUCGUCAAAUAUGAGCAUGGGGGCGAAAGACUAAUCGAACCAUCUAGUAGCUGGUUACCGC